Molecule: transfer RNA, 82 nt
Filed under: Pelagophyceae sp. CCMP2097
Lineage: Eukaryota; Pelagophyceae
Description: tRNA-Leu
Rfam family: tRNA
About the family: Transfer RNA (tRNA) molecules are approximately 80 nucleotides in length. Their secondary structure includes four short double-helical elements and three loops (D, anti-codon, and T loops). Further hydrogen bonds mediate the characteristic L-shaped molecular structure. tRNAs have two regions of fundamental functional importance: the anti-codon, which is responsible for specific mRNA codon recognition, and the 3' end, to which the tRNAs corresponding amino acid is attached (by aminoacyl-tRNA synthetases). tRNAs cope with the degeneracy of the genetic code in two manners: having more than one tRNA (with a specific anti-codon) for a particular amino acid; and 'wobble' base-pairing, i.e. permitting non-standard base-pairing at the 3rd anti-codon position.
Source: RNAcentral
GGGAUCUUGGCCGAGCGGUCUAAGGCGCUGCAUUCAAGUCGCAGUUCUUCACAGAGCAUGGGUUCGAACCCCAUAGAUCUCA